UUAAGUUAUUAAGGGCGCACGGUGGAUGCCUUGGCACUAGAAGCCGAUGAAGGACGUUACUAACGACGAUAUGCUUUGGGGAGCUGUAAGUAAGCUUUGAUGCAGAGAUUUCCGAAUGGGGAAACCCAGCAUGAGUUAUGUCAUGUUAUCGAUAUGUGAAUACAUAGCAUAUCAGAAGGCACACCCGGAGAACUGAAACAUCUUAGUACCCGGAGGAAGAGAAAGAAAAUUCGAUUCCCUUAGUAGCGGCGAGCGAAACGGGAAGAGCCCAAACCAACAAGCUUGCUUGUUGGGGUUGUAGGACACUCUAUACGGAGUUACAAAGGACGACAUUAGACGAAUCAUCUGGAAAGAUGAAUCAAAGAAGGUAAUAAUCCUGUAGUCGAAAAUGUUGUCUCUCUUGAGUGGAUCCUGAGUACGACGGAGCACGUGAAAUUCCGUCGGAAUCUGGGAGGACCAUCUCCUAAGGCUAAAUACUCUCUAGUGACCGAUAGUGAACCAGUACCGUGAGGGAAAGGUGAAAAGCACCCCGGAAGGGGAGUGAAAUAGAACCUGAAACCGUGUGCUUACAAGUAGUCAGAGCCCGUUAAUGGGUGAUGGCGUGCCUUUUGUAGAAUGAACCGGCGAGUUACGAUUUGAUGCAAGGUUAAGCAGUAAAUGUGGAGCCGUAGCGAAAGCGAGUCUGAAUAGGGCGUUUAGUAUUUGGUCGUAGACCCGAAACCAGGUGAUCUACCCUUGGUCAGGUUGAAGUUCAGGUAACACUGAAUGGAGGACCGAACCGACUUACGUUGAAAAGUGAGCGGAUGAACUGAGGGUAGCGGAGAAAUUCCAAUCGAACCUGGAGAUAGCUGGUUCUCUCCGAAAUAGCUUUAGGGCUAGCCUCAAGUGAUGAUUAUUGGAGGUAGAGCACUGUUUGGACGAGGGGCCCCUCUCGGGUUACCGAAUUCAGACAAACUCCGAAUGCCAAUUAAUUUAACUUGGGAGUCAGAACAUGGGUGAUAAGGUCCGUGUUCGAAAGGGAAACAGCCCAGACCACCAGCUAAGGUCCCAAAAUAUAUGUUAAGUGGAAAAGGAUGUGGCGUUGCCCAGACAACUAGGAUGUUGGCUUAGAAGCAGCCAUCAUUUAAAGAGUGCGUAAUAGCUCACUAGUCGAGUGACACUGCGCCGAAAAUGUACCGGGGCUAAACAUAUUACCGAAGCUGUGGAUUGUCCUUUGGACAAUGGUAGGAGAGCGUUCUAAGGGCGUUGAAGCAUGAUCGUAAGGACAUGUGGAGCGCUUAGAAGUGAGAAUGCCGGUGUGAGUAGCGAAAGACGGGUGAGAAUCCCGUCCACCGAUUGACUAAGGUUUCCAGAGGAAGGCUCGUCCGCUCUGGGUUAGUCGGGUCCUAAGCUGAGGCCGACAGGCGUAGGCGAUGGAUAACAGGUUGAUAUUCCUGUACCACCUAUAAUCGUUUUAAUCGAUGGGGGGACGCAGUAGGAUAGGCGAAGCGUGCGAUUGGAUUGCACGUCUAAGCAGUAAGGCUGAGUAUUAGGCAAAUCCGGUACUCGUUAAGGCUGAGCUGUGAUGGGGAGAAGACAUUGUGUCUUCGAGUCGUUGAUUUCACACUGCCGAGAAAAGCCUCUAGAUAGAAAAUAGGUGCCCGUACCGCAAACCGACACAGGUAGUCAAGAUGAGAAUUCUAAGGUGAGCGAGCGAACUCUCGUUAAGGAACUCGGCAAAAUGACCCCGUAACUUCGGGAGAAGGGGUGCUCUUUAGGGUUAACGCCCAGAAGAGCCGCAGUGAAUAGGCCCAAGCGACUGUUUAUCAAAAACACAGGUCUCUGCUAAACCGUAAGGUGAUGUAUAGGGGCUGACGCCUGCCCGGUGCUGGAAGGUUAAGAGGAGUGGUUAGCUUCUGCGAAGCUACGAAUCGAAGCCCCAGUAAACGGCGGCCGUAACUAUAACGGUCCUAAGGUAGCGAAAUUCCUUGUCGGGUAAGUUCCGACCCGCACGAAAGGCGUAACGAUUUGGGCACUGUCUCAACGAGAGACUCGGUGAAAUCAUAGUACCUGUGAAGAUGCAGGUUACCCGCGACAGGACGGAAAGACCCCGUGGAGCUUUACUGUAGCCUGAUAUUGAAAUUCGGCACAGCUUGUACAGGAUAGGUAGGAGCCUUUGAAACGUGAGCGCUAGCUUACGUGGAGGCGCUGGUGGGAUACUACCCUAGCUGUGUUGGCUUUCUAACCCGCACCACUUAUCGUGGUGGGAGACAGUGUCAGGCGGGCAGUUUGACUGGGGCGGUCGCCUCCUAAAAGGUAACGGAGGCGCUCAAAGGUUCCCUCAGAAUGGUUGGAAAUCAUUCAUAGAGUGUAAAGGCAUAAGGGAGCUUGACUGCGAGACCUACAAGUCGAGCAGGGUCGAAAGACGGACUUAGUGAUCCGGUGGUUCCGCAUGGAAGGGCCAUCGCUCAACGGAUAAAAGCUACCCCGGGGAUAACAGGCUUAUCUCCCCCAAGAGUUCACAUCGACGGGGAGGUUUGGCACCUCGAUGUCGGCUCAUCGCAUCCUGGGGCUGUAGUCGGUCCCAAGGGUUGGGCUGUUCGCCCAUUAAAGCGGUACGCGAGCUGGGUUCAGAACGUCGUGAGACAGUUCGGUCCCUAUCCGUCGUGGGCGUAGGAAAUUUGAGAGGAGCUGUCCUUAGUACGAGAGGACCGGGAUGGACAUACCUCUGGUGUACCAGUUGUCGUGCCAACGGCAUAGCUGGGUAGCUAUGUGUGGACGGGAUAAGUGCUGAAAGCAUCUAAGCAUGAAGCCCCCCUCAAGAUGAGAUUUCCCAACUUCGGUUAUAAGAUCCCUCAAAGAUGAUGAGGUUAAUAGGUUCGAGGUGGAAGCAUGGUGACAUGUGGAGCUGACGAAUACUAAUCGAUCGAAGACUUAAUCAA
RNAcentral lists this ribosomal RNA (2921 nucleotides) under Staphylococcus aureus M0043. RNAcentral's name for it is "bacterial LSU rRNA". It matches the Rfam family "Bacterial large subunit ribosomal RNA". The record is from RNAcentral. Lineage: Bacteria; Bacillati; Bacillota; Bacilli; Caryophanales; Staphylococcaceae.